UGUAAAGAGGGAUAGGAGAAUUGGAGGGCAAGUUUGGUGCCAGCAGCCGCGGUAAUACCGACUCCAAGAGUGUGUAUGAGAGAUGCUGCAGUUAAAAAGUCCGUAGUCAUAGAAGGGCAAAGAGAGAUGCGAGGUCUCACAGUGCGAUGAUGGAGGAGCCGAUGGGGAACAUAGUAUACCAGGGCGAGAGAUGAAAUGCCAAGACCCCUGGUGGACUGAGCGAGGCGAAGGCGAUGUUCUUGUAGGCAUUCGGUGAUCAAGGACGAAGGCUGGAGUAUCGAAAGUGAUUAGAUACCGCAGUAGUUCCAGCAGUAAAAGAUGCCGACAUGCUCAUUGGACACAGUGGGCAGGGAGAAAUCUUAGAGUUCGGGCUCUGGGGAUAGUAUGCUCGCAAGGGUGAAAAUUAAAGAAAUUGACGGAGCUACACCACAAGGAGUGGAUUGUGCGGCUUAAUUUGACUCAACGCGAGGAAACUUACCAGGGCCAAGUAUUGUGUAGAAACGAGCAAUACAGGAGUGGUGCAUGGUCGUUGGAAAUUGAUGGGAUGACUUUGACCUUAAAUGGUUGAAUGAGUGAGAUCUUUUGGACAUGUUCCGCACGGAACAGGAAGGAAAAGGCUAUAACAGAUCCGAGAUGCCCUCAGAUGCCCUGGGCUGCACGCGCAAUACAAUAGCAGGUAGAGAGAGAGACAGGAAGGUGCUCAGAUGGACUAUGUGCUGUAAGGCACAUACGAAAGAGGAAUUCCUAGUAAGUGUGUAUCAACAAUGGAUAUGAAUAUC
This 779-nucleotide ribosomal RNA is filed under the name Vittaforma corneae. Its description in RNAcentral is "SSU rRNA". It matches the Rfam family "Microsporidia small subunit ribosomal RNA", at positions 354 to 1171 of the family's 1311-position model. Lineage: Eukaryota; Fungi; Microsporidia; Nosematidae. The record is from RNAcentral.